Molecule: ribosomal RNA, 1500 nt
Filed under: Triticum aestivum (bread wheat)
Lineage: Eukaryota; Viridiplantae; Streptophyta; Magnoliopsida; Poales; Poaceae
Description: partial small subunit ribosomal RNA
Source: RNAcentral
UCAAGUGCUGGAGGCAUUGCCCAUUGCGCGGUAUAACCAAGAGACAACGUGGAUAGCAGACCCAACAUGACCAGGCAAGUGUACAUUACUCAGCAAAAGAGCAGCUGAGUUUGAUAUGACGCGCAUACAUACUGAGCUACUCGAUGUGUUGCCAAACUUGUGAAGUGUCAUCCUUGAUGGCUCAACAUGCUCAUCAAGCAGGCAGAGGCUACGCUGCACAACAUCGAUUACAACCCGUCCACCUGCAUGGAUGCACAAAUACUCGAAAGCUUUGCGGAACUCAGGCACGUAUGGCUUGGUGGUUCCAUUUAGCACCUUCCGUGAGAUGAACGAGAGCAGAAAAUCAAUCUUGACUGAGAAUGGAAGAACAAGCGGUCCAACCAUGGUGAUGUUAGCCCGAGAGCCUUUCCAGCGACAUCCACAAGAUCCGUCUUGGGAGCUGGUGCAAUUCCGAACUACGUGCGCCAUCUCAAAACGAGCUUGUGUACUCGACGUUGAGAGGAGCACUGCCGAGCCAAUGCGGAACAACUGUUGGUCAGCUGCAUUUCGCGUUUCCUCCCGGUGUAGUAGACACCAGUCAAAAUCUCCGGGUUGGUUUCGAUCUGACGGCUUAAACAAGCCAGUUAGAUCCCACUCGAUCAGGGGGAGCACUACAGUGAUGGGAAGACCUAAGCCAGCCGCCGCUGCUAUCCCCGGCCAGUGUCGGUAGUGUCCUGAAGGAAACAAGACGUCAAGGAGAACCUCUGCUUUGACUACAUCACCCCAAAUGCGUCGUAGCCGCCUUUUCCCUUCGGGGCCCGCACAGCGCCCACCGUUGUGCGAGGGCAGAGACGCCGUCGUGCCCUGGCCGACGCGCGAAAUGCUCCUGCGCCAUGCUGCCGCUCUUACGGACGUGCGCGUGUAUGGGCCGUCGCCCCGCACGCCGCCGUCGACCUCUUCAUGACGCGGUGGCCGACACCCCAUCUUGCCCUCCUGAUGUGCCAUGCGCACGAACGCCAGAGCCACGCUUGAUAGAGAAGCACGUGGGAAUGACUCCGCUGCACGCUCCUCCAGCGAGCGCAGCCGCCGCGCCGCCAAGGCCGGUGCGCUUCGAACCACCGCUGAAAGCUGCCGCCGGUCUUGGGAGCGAGAAAUGCGGGGGAGGAGGGGAAGAAUGACCGUGAAAGCGUGGCCUAUCGAUCCUUUAGAUCUUCGGAGUUUGAAGCUAGAGGUGUCAGAAAAGUUACCACAGGGAUAACUGGCUUGUGGCAGCCAAGCGUUCAUAGCGACAUUAGGGUUGGCUCUGUGCGGCGGUUUUGUUCCGACCACGUGCGAAGCUGACCGUCCGAUUUGAUCGGGCAGCUCACAGCAACGGGGAGCACCGGCUCGGGCCUUAGGGCGCUCAAUGGGCCAAUUUUGAUCGUGGGCUGCGGACCAGGUAUUUACAGUCCAGCGAUUUUUUACGUGUUUUGCUGCUGGGAUGGACCGUUUUACGUGUAGCUGUGGGUAUUUCGGGCACAU